Molecule: transfer RNA, 74 nt
Filed under: bacterium
Lineage: Bacteria
Description: tRNA-Trp
Rfam family: tRNA
About the family: Transfer RNA (tRNA) molecules are approximately 80 nucleotides in length. Their secondary structure includes four short double-helical elements and three loops (D, anti-codon, and T loops).
Source: RNAcentral
GGGUCUGUAGCUCCAAUUGGUAGAGCAGGGGCCUCCAAAUCCUCUUGUUGCAGGUUCGAAUCCUGCCAGACCCG